Molecule: ribosomal RNA, 484 nt
Filed under: uncultured bacterium
Lineage: Bacteria
Description: partial 16S ribosomal RNA
Rfam family: Bacterial small subunit ribosomal RNA
Source: RNAcentral
AUUGAACGCUGGCGGCAGGCCUAACACAUGCAAGUCGAGCGGAUGCAGGGAGCUUGCUCCUGGAUUCAGCGGCGGACGGGUGAGUCAUGCCUAUGAAUCUGCCUGGUAGUGGGGGAUAACGUCCGGAAACGGGCGCUAAUACCCCAUACGUCCUGAUGGCGAAAGUGGGGGAUCUUCGGACCUCACGCUAUCAGAUUAGCCUAGGUCGGAUUAGCUAGUUGGUGGGGUAACGGCCUACCAAGGCGACGAUCCGUAACUGGUCUUAGAGGAUGAUCAGUAACACUGGAACUGGGACACGGUCAAGAAUCCUACGGGAGGCAGCAGUGGGGAAUAUUGGACGAAGGGCGAAAGCGUGAACAAGCCAUGCCGCGUGUGUGAAGAAGGUAUUCGGAUUGUAAAGCACUUUAAGUUGGGAGGGAGGGAAGUAAGUUAAUACCGUGAUGUUUAGAAGAUACCAACAGAAUAAGCACCGGCUAACUUCGUG